Molecule: long non-coding RNA, 315 nt
Filed under: Vigna radiata
Lineage: Eukaryota; Viridiplantae; Streptophyta; Magnoliopsida; Fabales; Fabaceae
Description: long non-coding RNA (VRAD_LNC004864)
Source: RNAcentral
AAAGUUAUGGGUAAAAGAUUGAGCAAAGGUCAGAGUUGUCCUGUUCCAGCGUGAAAUUAUUGUUUUCUGUAUUUUCGUAUUUACUGUAGCAGUUUCUGUUUUAAUUUCAUCUUCAUGCAUGGUGAAAUGUGUUGUUCCAUUUAAUUUCGUUUUAAUUGAAUUUAAUUAUGUUUUUCUUACAUCUGCGUUUUAAUUUAAUUUCAUUUUAAUUUUUCCGCAUCCACAAACAACUUUUCAAAACCGCCCCUUUUCGUGUUAGACUUGAUUCUGAACUGCAGUUGGUCCUUGAGAGACGACCUAGGGGUCAUUCCCUAG